This 1000-nucleotide long non-coding RNA is filed under the name Mus musculus (house mouse). RNAcentral's name for it is "long non-coding RNA chr9:88731997-88732997". Lineage: Eukaryota; Metazoa; Chordata; Mammalia; Rodentia; Muridae. The record is from RNAcentral.
ACAAGAUCCCUCUAAGUAGGUGGGAACUAGAGGCUCUUCAAAGUCACUCUGGCAGUAGUACACUUGAGAGGUAUAUAGACCAGGUUGAGAGGAGACAAAGUUAGCUCUUUUCGUCAAUUUAGAAUUUCUGAUAGAAAACGAUCCGGCUAUAAACUCAGUACAUAUUUCAUUUUAAGUAUUCGUUUACUUUUUUCUUUGGACUUGCCUGAGAGUAUGUAUAUGUAUCACGUGCCUGGAAACCCACAGAACCGAGAAGAGGGUGUCAGAUCCCUUAGAACAUGAGUAAGAGGCAGCCUGGUAUAAGCGCUGAGACGAAACCUGGGAUCCCCUGAAACAGCAGCAAGUGUUCUUAAUUCCUGAGUCACUCACCUCUCUAGUCCUUAAAACAUUUUCUUAUAUCACAUACAUUAUCCAUUAUCUGGGUUAGAAAUCAUGGGAGAAAUUAGGAGUACUGACAUAAGAGUCAUAGUGCCUUGUUGCAGUUGUAGACAAAUCCUUCUUCCUGUUUAUUGUGGCUUUGGCUUGAACUUGAAAAAGGAAGCCAUCGAGACUGACUUUAGAGGCGUGGGGUGAAGCUAAAGGAGAUGACCUAAAUACUGCUCCUGCUACUGUGUCUGUGAGAUGUAGGUGCUUCAUGAUGCUCUCUUCAUUCUGUCAUGAAUGAAUGAGGAUUUGACUUCUCACUUACCCCCGGACCUAGUGAGUACAGAACUUCCAGAGUCCACAAUUUGAAGUUAAGAGAAAAUAUAUCAUUUUGUUGAGCUUUGAUAAGCAACUCUGAGAGCUUAGUGGAGAUUGUGAAUCAGUGGUUAAGGCAACAUUGAAACUUUGAAUUGCAUCUUAAGUCCCCUCACCUAAGUAUGUAGCAGUGAAAGCAGCUGCUGAAUGCAUGGAGAUGAGGAGCUAUGCUUGCCUGAAGAGUCAGUGGUGGAGAAAUAGAAACAAUUCACAUCCUUAGAAAUAUCAACUGAAAAAAAAAUCAAUAAAUAUUGAUAUGUCC